GUUGUUAAAAAGGCGGCAGGAAUAGCAGCAUCCAUACGGUCACGCAAUUAGACCCCCGCCGUGAGAUGCGUCGGCGGCUGUGAGGCAGGUGGGGACAUGCCUGUGAGGCUGAAAGGGCUUCCGGACGCAUAAAUCGCACCAGGCGCCGUCGUACGCCGGACCAACGAUGCAUCAUAACAUACCUAGUUGUUAAAAAGGCGGCAGGAAUAGGAGCAUCCAUACGGUCACGCAAUUAGAACCCCGCCGUGAGAUGCGUCGGCGGCUGUGAGGCAGGUGGGGACAUGCCUGUGAGGCUGAAAGGGCUUCCGGACGCAUAAAUCGCACCAGGCGCCGUCGUACGCCGGACCAACGGUGCAUCAUAACAUAACUAAUUGUUAAAAAGGCGGCGGGGUAAGGAGCAUCCAUACGGUCACGCAAUUAGAACCCCGCCGUGAGAUGCGUCGGCGGCUGUGAGGCAGGUGGGGACAUGCCUGUGAGGCUGAAAGGGCUUCCGGACGCAUAAAUCGCACCAGGCGCCGUCGUACGCCGGACCAACGAUGCAUCAUAACAUAACUAGCUGCUAAAAAGGCGGCAGGAAAGGAGCAUCCAUACGGUCACGCAAUUAGAACCCCGCCGUGAGAUGCGUCGGCGGCUGUGAGGCAGGUGGGGACAUGCCUGGAGGCUGAAAGGGCUUCCGGACGCAUAAAUCGCACCAGGCGCCGUCGUACGCCGGACCAACGAUGCAUCAUAACAGUAACUAGUUGUUAGAAAGGCGGCAGGAAUAGGAGCAUCCAUACGCGCACGCAAUUAGAGCCCCGCCGUGAGAUGCGUAGGCGGCUGUGAGGCAGGUGGGGACAUGCCUGUGAGGCUGAGAGGGCUUCCGGACGCAUAAAUCGCACCAGGCGCCGUCGUACGCCGGACAAAGGUUGCAUCAUAACAUUAACUAGUUGUUAGAAAGGCGGCAGGAAUAGGAGCAUCCAUACGCGCACGCAAUUAGAACCCCGCCGUGAGAUGCGUCGGUGGCUGUGAGGCAGGUGGGACAUGCCUGUGAGGCUGAAAGGGCUUCCGGACGCAUAAAUCGCACCAGGCGCCGUCGUACGCCGGACCACCGAUGCAUCAUAACAUCAACUAGUUGCUAGAAAGGCGGCGGGGUAAGGAGCAUCCAUACGCGCACGCAAUUAGAACCCCGCCGUGAGAUGCGUCGGUGGCUGUGAGGCAGGUGGGGACAUGCCUGGAGGCUGAAAGGGCUUCCGGACGCAUAAAUCGCACCAGGCGCCGUCGUACGCCGGACCAACGAUGCAUCAUAACAUCAACUAGUUGCCAGAAAAGCGGCGGGGAACGCGUCUUCAUCAGUCACGCUCGCUAGCCAACCAUCAUGGGGAAGGGAUGUAAGACCGUCAUCCUCUGGGAUGGGUCGAACUACUCCCACUGGCUCGGCGAGUUAGGCGAUUUCCUCGCAACGUCCAAGUUGAAGAGCUACAUCAACAACCCG
This 1471-nucleotide long non-coding RNA is filed under the name Volvox carteri. RNAcentral describes it as "long non-coding RNA (VCAR_LNC002920)". Lineage: Eukaryota; Viridiplantae; Chlorophyta; Chlorophyceae; Chlamydomonadales; Volvocaceae. The record is from RNAcentral.